Molecule: ribosomal RNA, 292 nt
Filed under: uncultured Flavobacterium sp.
Lineage: Bacteria; Pseudomonadati; Bacteroidota; Flavobacteriia; Flavobacteriales; Flavobacteriaceae
Description: partial 16S ribosomal RNA
Rfam family: Bacterial small subunit ribosomal RNA
Source: RNAcentral
GAGUUUGAUCGUGGCUCAGGAUGAACGCUAGCGGCAGGCUUAACACAUGCAAGUCGAGGGGUAUAGGUUUUCGGACCUAGAGACCGGCGCACGGGUGCGUAACGCGUAUGUAACCUACCUUUCACAGAGGAUAGCCCAGAGAAAUUUGGAUUAAUACCUCAUGGUAUUAUGGAAUGGCAUCAUUUUAUAAUUUAAAGUCACAACGGUGUAAAGAUGGGCAUGCGUCCCAUUAGCUAGAUGGUAAGGUAACGGCUUACCAUGGCUACGAUGGGUAGGGUCCUGAGAGGGAGAU